RNAcentral lists this long non-coding RNA (347 nucleotides) under Ananas comosus (pineapple). RNAcentral describes it as "long non-coding RNA (ACOM_LNC024073)". Lineage: Eukaryota; Viridiplantae; Streptophyta; Magnoliopsida; Poales; Bromeliaceae. The record is from RNAcentral.
UAAAUUCUCCUCAGUACACUUUACUCCCAACAAGCAAAUUGUACUUCUCUUGCCCUUCCUACAUAGCAAUAUAUCCACGUCAUUUUUGCUACUUUUUUUCUCGAAGUAGCAAUGAGCCAACUAAGUGAUCAGUCUUUUACAACACCUUAUAAUCCAACUCCUAUUUGUGAUUGUGGUAAAUAGUGUUGAAUUUGGAUAUCAAAACAACCACACGGUAAAAGUCGAUGAUUUUAUCGAUGUCCAAAUUGGGGGUAAGUUGAUGUGAUGUUUUAGUGUGCAUAUAAUUAUUAAUUAAAUUCUAAAUAUGUAAUGUUGUAUAUGUUUUACAGGUUGAGGAACAAAGAUGG